Molecule: long non-coding RNA, 420 nt
Organism: Selaginella moellendorffii
Lineage: Eukaryota; Viridiplantae; Streptophyta; Lycopodiopsida; Selaginellales; Selaginellaceae
Exons: 2
Source: RefSeq, a predicted model, not a curated record
GAACUAACGGUUGAGAUUUUAGAUGCUGCGGAUAUGCGCAUCUAGACGUACUUUAUUAGACCUUUUCUAUUUUCCUCCAAUUCAUACCUUUUGCGAGAGAGAAGAGGAUGUAUGCGCCAGAGGCCCAGCAGAUGAGCGCCAGCGACCACAUACAAAAGAGGAGCGAGGACAGGGGCUGCUUGUACGCAUGCCUCUUCGCGGCGUGCUGCUGUUUCAUGUGUUAUGAGACUUGCGAGUGCUGCCUUGACAUCCUCUGCUGCUGCUGCUGAGAGGAAAUGCAAUGGAUUCAAGGAGACAAAAAUAAAUAAAUAAAAUGUGAUGUGCCUGCAUAAGAAAAAACCGGUUGUUUCUUCGUCAAAGCCGCGUCUUUUAUUAUCUUCUAUUAAUAAAAUAAAGGAAAUCGUGUAUGACUUAAAAAUA